Molecule: ribosomal RNA, 253 nt
Filed under: uncultured bacterium
Lineage: Bacteria
Description: partial 16S ribosomal RNA
Rfam family: Bacterial small subunit ribosomal RNA
Source: RNAcentral
UACGAAGGGGGCUAGCGUUGCUCGGAAUCACUGGGCGUAAAGCGCACGUAGGCGGAUUGCUAAGUCAGGGGUGAAAUCCUGGAGCUCAACUCCAGAACUGCCUUUGAUACUGGCGAUCUCGAGUCCGGGAGAGGUGAGUGGAACUGCGAGUGUAGAGGUGAAAUUCGUAGAUAUUCGCAAGAACACCAGUGGCGAAGGCGGCUCACUGGCCCGGUACUGACGCUGAGGUGCGAAAGCGUGGGGAGCGAACCGG